GAUGAACGCUGGCGGCGUGCCUAAUACAUGCAAGUCGAGCGAACGGACGAGAAGCUUGCUUCUCUGAUGUUAGCGGCGGACGGGUGAGUAACACGUGGAUAACCUACCUAUAAGACUGGGAUAACUUCGGGAAACCGUAGCUAAUACCGGAUAAUAUUUUGCACCGCAUGGUUCAAUAGUGAAAGACGGUUUUGCUGUCACUUAUAGAUGGAUCCGCGCUGCAUUAGCUAGUUGGUAAGGUAACGGCUUACCAAGGCAACGAUGCAUAGCCGACCUGAGAGGGUGAUCGGCCACACUGGAACUGAGACACGGUCCAGACUCCUACGGGAGGCAGCAGUAGGGAAUCUUCCGCAAUGGGCGAAAGCCUGACGGAGCAACGCCGCGUGAGUGAUGAAGGUCUUCGGAUCGUAAAACUCUGUUAUUAGGGAAGAACAAAUGUGUAAGUAACUGUGCACAUCUUGACGGUACCUAAUCAGAAAGCCACGGCUAACUACGUG
RNAcentral lists this ribosomal RNA (497 nucleotides) under uncultured bacterium. Its description in RNAcentral is "partial 16S ribosomal RNA". It matches the Rfam family "Bacterial small subunit ribosomal RNA", at positions 28 to 507 of the family's 1533-position model. The record is from RNAcentral.